GAUGAACGCUGGCGGCGUGCCUAAUACAUGCAAGUCGAGCGAACGGACGAGAAGCUUGCUUCUCUGAUGUUAGCGGCGGACGGGUGAGUAACACGUGGAUAACCUACCUAUAAGACUGGGAUAACUUCGGGAAACCGGAGCUAAUACCGUAUAAUAUUUUGAACCGCAUGGUUCAAAAGUGAAAGACGGUCUUGCUGUCACUUAUAGAUGGAUCCGCGCUGCAUUAGCUAGUUGGUAAGGUAACGGCUUACCAAGGCAACGAUGCAUAGCCGACCUGAGAGGGUGAUCGGCCACACUGGAACUGAGACACGGUCCAGACUCCUACGGGAGGCAGCAGUAGGGAAUCUGCCGCAAUGGGCGAAAGCCUGACGGAGCAACGCCGCGUGAGUGAUGAAGGUCUUCGGAUCGUAAAACUCUGUUAUUAGGGAAGAACAUAUGUGUAAGUAACUGUGCACAUCUUGACGGUACCUAAUCAGAAAGCCACGGCUAACUACGUG
This 497-nucleotide ribosomal RNA is filed under the name uncultured bacterium. Its description in RNAcentral is "partial 16S ribosomal RNA". It matches the Rfam family "Bacterial small subunit ribosomal RNA", at positions 28 to 507 of the family's 1533-position model. The record is from RNAcentral.